RNAcentral lists this transfer RNA (73 nucleotides) under Myotis lucifugus (little brown bat). It matches the Rfam family "tRNA". Rfam says of the family: Transfer RNA (tRNA) molecules are approximately 80 nucleotides in length. Their secondary structure includes four short double-helical elements and three loops (D, anti-codon, and T loops). Lineage: Eukaryota; Metazoa; Chordata; Mammalia; Chiroptera; Vespertilionidae. The record is from Rfam by way of RNAcentral.
GCCGGUGUGGCUCAGUGGAUAGAGUGUCAGCCUGCGGACUGAGGGGUUCCAGGUUCGAUUCCGGUCAAGGGCA